CACAAAAUGACUCUCGGCAACGGAUAUCUCGGCUCUUGCAUCGAUGAAGAACGUAGCGAAAUGCGAUACUUGGUGUGAAUUGCAAAAUCCCGUGAACCAUCGAGUCUUUGAACGCAAGUUGCGCCCGAAGCCAUUAGGUUGAGGGCACGCCUGCCUGGGUGUCACA
Molecule: ribosomal RNA, 166 nt
Filed under: Deguelia picta
Lineage: Eukaryota; Viridiplantae; Streptophyta; Magnoliopsida; Fabales; Fabaceae
Description: Lonchocarpus pictus 5.8S ribosomal RNA
Rfam family: 5.8S ribosomal RNA
About the family: 5.8S ribosomal RNA (5.8S rRNA) is a component of the large subunit of the eukaryotic ribosome. It is transcribed by RNA polymerase I as part of the 45S precursor that also contains 18S and 28S rRNA. Functionally, it is thought that 5.8S rRNA may be involved in ribosome translocation.
Source: RNAcentral